Molecule: long non-coding RNA, 792 nt
Organism: Dreissena polymorpha
Lineage: Eukaryota; Metazoa; Mollusca; Bivalvia; Myida; Dreissenidae
Exons: 3
Source: RefSeq, a predicted model, not a curated record
AUAAUAACACAAAGGAUUUUAUUUUUACCACAGAACGCAAUAGCCGUAAGACGAAACACAUUUGGAGAUCAAAGAAGUGAUUUUAAGUAUAUCUUCGCUUAACAUCGACCGCAAUUGUGUUUAGGACAUGCAUAUGCAGGAAGUGCCAGAGCAUAAAGUCACACAAAUUGAUGGAAACAAAGAAAUAGUUGAUAUAAGUAAGAUGACUCUUCGUGAUGCGUAUGAUUGACAAGAGACAAGAGGUAUACCACAUGAGCUUCAGUCCCUAGAAGAGAUGAGAACACUGAUUUAUUUAACUCAGUCCAAGACACCUAGUGAAUCCAGUGCCAAAAGGGAAUAACCGCAGUCAGCUUUGGUGAUCGAUGGAGCGCAACAAGAGGAUGUGGAAACCAUGGACAUCGUCGGCGCACAAAACUGGCUUAAAAGUAGAAACAUUAAACAUUACCAUAAGUCGUUGGAGGAAAUUUGAAACCUUAUUCGAACCAUUAUAAAGCCACUGUUAGCUGCCUCUCGUGUAAGUAAAUGUAUUACAGUAGACUCUGCCAAUACCGGACUCUCUGAAUACCGGAACUCUCCCGAUUCCGGACGGUCGGGCCAGUCCCGUAUUUUCUCCUUCUAUUUCUUUGUUAAAAAAUGUUGAAUAAACCGAACUCUCUGAAAACCGGAAACCGGACGGGUAUCGCCGUAAAUUUGGUCAUUUUCAACGUAAAAUACAUUGAGUAUACCGGACGGUCUAAAUUCUCAAGAUACCCGAGGCGUGAAAAUAACAAUACCUAGUCAGCACAGCGAGUG